GCAUAUCAAUAAGCGGAGGAAAAGAAACCAACCGGGAUUACCUCAGUAACGGCGAGUGAAGCGGUAACAGCUCAAAUUUGAAAUCUGGCUCCUCUGGAGUCCGAGUUGUAAUUUGUAGAAGAUGCUUUGGGUUGUGGGUUCGGCCUAAGUUCCUUGGAACAGGACGUCAUAGAGGGUGAGAAUCCCGUAUGUGGCCGAGGCCCGCGCCUAUGUAAAGCUCUUUCAACGAGUCGAGUUGUUUGGGAAUGCAGCUCAAAAUGGGUGGUAAAUUUCAUCUAAAGCUAAAUAUGGGCCAGAGACCGAUAGCGCACAAGUAGAGUGAUCGAAAGAUGAAAAGCACUUUGGAAAGAGAGUUAAACAGUACGUGAAAUUGUUGAAAGGGAAGCGCUUGCACCCAGACUUGGGCGCUGCCGAUCACCUUGCGGUCUCCGCGAGUGCACUCGACAGCGCACAGGCCAGCAUCGGUUCGGGUGGCUGGAUAAAGGCCGUAGGAACGUAGCUCUCUUCGGGGAGUGUUAUAGCCUACGGUGCCAUGCAGCCCAGCCGGACCGAGGACCGCGCCUUCGGGCUAGGAUGCUGGCGUAAUGGGUGUAAGCGACCCGUCUGAAACACGGACC
Molecule: ribosomal RNA, 617 nt
Filed under: Pseudoidium sp.
Lineage: Eukaryota; Fungi; Ascomycota; Leotiomycetes; Helotiales; Erysiphaceae
Description: eukaryotic LSU rRNA
Rfam family: Eukaryotic large subunit ribosomal RNA
Source: RNAcentral